This is a non-coding RNA of Sus scrofa (pig), 1825 nucleotides long. NCBI's taxonomy places the organism in Eukaryota, Metazoa, Chordata, Mammalia, Artiodactyla, Suidae. The record is from RefSeq and is a predicted model, not a curated record.
UGCCAGCCUCUUGGUGGGUGUUGGGCUGGGGGAUGGACGGGACGGAGUGAGCCCUGGGUGGGCAGUACCUCGGGGACACAGAGCGACCUCGCCUUCCCCAAGGGGGUCUUCUGGACGCGUGCAUGGAGGAGUCCCGGCCAUUCGCGUCGCCGGCUCUAACCCAGGAGGCGGCUCCAGGAAACAGCCCCAGCCAGGCUGGAGGCCGAUUAGGACUGUAACAAAGAGGAAGCCACACACAGAAGUGAGAACGGGACAAGGAUACUUCGGGAGAAAGAGCGUUUCUUCUGCGGGAGCACGUAGGCUGCCUGCAUUUCAGCCGUGAAAAUAAGACCGUGAGGAGCCAAGGAUACCCCUGCCCCUGGCCCCUCGUGAGAAGCCAGGGGUCCCCCCCAGCCCCUAAGGCCCCAGAACCCACGCCAAGAGGGGGCUGCCUCUCCCCCUGGACUUCGCCCUGCUUCCCAGCCCGGCCCUCGCUCCAGUGGGACCUGCGUGGCCAUGGCUUUCCUCUGGCUGGCGGUGUUGCUGAUGCCCGUCUCCUGCCUUCUGUCAGUGCACCAGGGUAGGACAAGCCCAAGGGAAAACGAUCCAGACGCACCGAUUAGGAACUUAAGGAUAGAGCCGGAAAGUGGACGGCUGAGCUGGGACUCCACGGAAAUGUCUCCGAAAUUACGUGUUACAUCAAUUCGAACGUGAAAAGCGAAAGGCACAGAACAACAGGUACUGCGCCGUUCAGCCCAUCCAUGCUCAGUGACCAACUACACGGUCUCCGUGAACCAAGGGCCGCCGUUGUCCACGUUCUCCACGUGGAUCCUGUAUCUGAGCCAGAAGGGAACCCAAGGCGGCGGCAAACCUGACUGCUGGAUUCACGAUGUGCACUUCCUGACGUGCAGUGGGCGCCGGGCCGUGCGGCGCCCCGGACGUGCGCUACCGUCUCUACCUGGAGAAUCCACUGUCCAUCAGAUGUGGGAGUGUGUCCACGACGAAGCUGACCCUCGGGGGACACACUUCCAGUGUCGCUUCGACAUCUCCGCCUUGUCUGACAAACUGGGCCGCUUAGCCGUUUCCUGGUCAACGGCAGCACAGCAGCGGCUCCAGAAUCCCCUGCUCUGAACUUACGAGCCAACUGUCCCCGAUGGAGAUACUCACCGCCCCCAACAUCACAAACAGUUGGUGUAACCAAAGCUAUGCUAUCAUGCGGUGGACAGUGCAAAGUAACUUCAACUUUCAUUUCAAGUAUGAAGUUCAGAUACAGAAGGGCGAGGACCAGGCCUACAGUCAGGAGGUGGAGAGAAACUCCUUGUGGCUGUACAAUCCUGGAACCUACACGGUAAAAAUAAGAGCCAAGGACGCCAGUUUCAAUCUCCCCUGGGGCGACUGGAGCGCCCCCCAGCGCUUCGUGUGUGACGGAGAGAAGGGCACGGUCUUGCCGGCCUGGCUGACCUCUUUGCUGAUCGCGCUGGGGAUGCUGCUGGCUCUGGGGCUUGUGCUCCUGUUAUGCAGAAGGUUCUCAGUGAGGCAGAAGCUGCUCCCGCCCAUCCCUCACCUGAAAGACCCCAUCAGUGACAACCUGCAGAACGAAAGGAUGAUGGCGUGGGACCCCGAGCAGGAGAGCCGGGAGGAGUGUCCCGUGGCCGAGGUGCAGGUUUUGGGGGAAACAUGAAGUUGGUGCGCGGGACUCGCUCUCGGCUGGUCGCCCUUGGACGUGGACGUUGGAGGCGGGGGCAGGGGUGGGGAAGCGCGGUGCAGUGUAGGUGCUGCUGCUGCCUCGCGCAAGGGGACUCUGUGUUGCGCUCAUUUCUCCAAUAAAGGGCCUGAAUUUUCACCC